This 268-nucleotide ribosomal RNA is filed under the name Aureobasidium sp. BJ-2021j. RNAcentral describes it as "partial large subunit ribosomal RNA". It matches the Rfam family "Bacterial large subunit ribosomal RNA", at positions 600 to 869 of the family's 2925-position model. The record is from RNAcentral. Lineage: Eukaryota; Fungi; Ascomycota; Dothideomycetes; Dothideales; Saccotheciaceae.
UGUACUUUUGCUAAUGGGUCAGCAAGUUAAUAUUAGAUGCGAGAAAAGCAUUUUUUCCUAAGUGUGAAAAAAGUAAGUCUUAUUCCUAGAUAAACCGAUUAUUAAAUAAUGAAUUAGUAUCUAAAAUUAGACCCGAAGCCUGGUGAUCUUACCAUGAUCAGGGUUAUAAAAGCCCGAACGGGUUAUCGUUGUAAAGAUAUCCGAAGAAUUGUGGUAAGUUAGUGAAAGACAAUACUGACCAGGAUAGCUGGUUUUCUACGAAACAUAA